This 478-nucleotide ribosomal RNA is filed under the name uncultured bacterium. Its description in RNAcentral is "partial 16S ribosomal RNA". It matches the Rfam family "Bacterial small subunit ribosomal RNA", at positions 28 to 523 of the family's 1533-position model. The record is from RNAcentral.
GACGAACGCUGGCGGCGUGCUUAACACAUGCAAGUCGAGCGAUGAAGCUUCUUCGGAAGUGGAUUAGCGGCGGACGGGUGAGUAACACGUGGGUAACCUGCCUCAUAGAGGGGAAUAGCCUUCCGAAAGGAAGAUUAAUACCGCAUAAGAUUGUAAUAUCGCAUGAUAUAGCAAUUAAAGGAGUAAUCCGCUAUGAGAUGGACCCGCGUCGCAUUAGCUAGUUGGUGAGGUAACGGCUCACCAAGGCGACGAUGCGUAGCCGACCUGAGAGGGUGAUCGGCCACAUUGGGACUGAGACACGGCCCAGACUCCUACGGGAGGCAGCAGUGGGGAAUAUUGCACAAUGGGGGAAACCCUGAUGCAGCAACGCCGCGUGAGUGAUGACGGUCUUCGGAUUGUAAAGCUCUGUCUUCAGGGACGAUAAUGACGGUACCUGAGGAGGAAGCCACGGCUAACUACGUGCCAGCAGCCGCAGUAA